RNAcentral lists this long non-coding RNA (1525 nucleotides) under Marmota monax (woodchuck). Lineage: Eukaryota; Metazoa; Chordata; Mammalia; Rodentia; Sciuridae. The record is from RNAcentral.
GUCCCCUCCCCGGAGGAUGUGAAAGCACCCAGCCCAGCAGAGCCUCCGAGGAAAUGUCAGUACGUCACUGUGUUGGGGACGGUUUGUUACGCAGCAUCGGAUGACUGAUACACCCCCGUGCCCUGUGGCUGGGAGGUCUGUGUCCUCACAAGUUUUCUAUGAAUCCUGGUCACUUCGGGCUCUUAUUCCAAUCCCUUCAUCAGGCCCCAUUCCUUUCCCAGACCCCAUCCCUCCCUUUCCCUGGACACCCUCCCAAAUAAUCUCCGAGGCUUCCAUGAGCACCACAGAGGGCACCCAAGAUGGGGAGGCGAGGGGCGGCUCACAGGCAGGUGAGAGGAUUCCCUCUUCUUAAAACUCCUGUCACCCCACCACCACGGCUUCUCCCUUAGCCGUGGUCCCCAGCAGUCCGUCCCCCUCCCUGUCUCGGCUCUCUCCUGCCCUGUGCCCUCACCUUCCUGGCUCCCCCUGGCUCUCUGCGUGGGGCCCACUCUGAGCCUCACCUCCACCCCCACAAGACUGUCAAAGUGUUUUCCUAAACAAAGAGUGUUUUCCCUGGGAGCCUUUGACGGAUGCCGGAUGUCAAACUAAGAGUUGCACUUUUAAUCCUGCUACGUAGGUGACAGAGGACACUUGCAGGUGUCCCUCCCAUGUCCAUUCCUGUCUUCCUUUUACCUUCAGACUGCUAACAUUCAUUCAGGGUACUGAAUUUUCCAGCCUCCUCUACAGCCUCAGAGUGGACGUGAGACACCUUAUGGCCUUUGACUUGUCAACAGAAUCUGCUGGAGACUUACAGGGAUGCUUAUCCCUUCCUGAUGCAGACACUGCCCUGUCCGCUUGCUUCUUCCUGUCUAGAAUGUGGAUGCAAUGUCCGGCAGUGCAGCAGCCAUCUUAUAACCAAGAAGAGAACCACAGGCCCAGGAUGGCAGAAAGACGGAACAAGUCUUUGCUCUUGAUAACUUCCUUCUGCCACAUCUGGGCUGCUUAAUUCUGGACUCCGCGUGCCAUGUAAAAAAUAAACCUGUCUAUUUGGUUUUCUGUCUCUGCAUCUGAAUGCAAUCUUACCUGAUUCCAGAGGCAAACACAUUUUGAUUUCAAAACCCUUUCCUUUUCCUGCUGUCACUCCAGGAAAGAGGAUGACGAUGUCAACCACAGCAAGUUGCUAAUGAUGUCAAUCAAAAGUGCUCAAGGAACGUCACCUGCAGCCGUUGACGGUGGAAAGAAACGCUGGGACUCCAUCUUGUCCCAGAAUGGCAGGAGCCUCCUUGGGGCAGAGACGGUGCCUUUGUCAUGCAGCAUGAGGGGACCUGGGGACAUCAGGGGAGCGAAUACCCGAUGCAGAAUGCCCCAGGGAAGAGCCGGUCAGCGGGCUGGGCUUCGGAGCCUCUGUCUGGUUUGGGCUGGCCCUGAGGUGGCGGCUGGGCACCCAGGCAGACCCCUCGGGAAGCAGCUCAUCAGCACCGCGGUCCCCACUCCUGGCUGCCACCUGAGCCCAGCCACCCGCUCGGGCAGAGAACCUCGGGUGGGC